This is a non-coding RNA of Callithrix jacchus (white-tufted-ear marmoset), 9624 nucleotides long. The record is from RefSeq and is a predicted model, not a curated record. Lineage: Eukaryota; Metazoa; Chordata; Mammalia; Primates; Cebidae.
GCCUCAGCCUCCCAAGUAGCUGGGACUACUGGUGCACGCCACCAUGCCCAGCUAAUUUUUGUAUUUUUAGUAGAGACGGGGUUUCACCUUGUUGACCAGGAUGGUCUCGAUCUCUUGACCUUGUGAUCCACCCGCCUCAGCCUCCCAAAGUGCUGGGAUUAUAGGCGUGAGCCACUGCGCCUGGCCCCACUUUUUUACUUUUAUUUGGAGUUGCACCAAUAUCUUUGGUUCCUAAGACCAAUAGAUUAUUUCUAACCUUUAAAAGUAAGAAAGCCAGGGCCAGGCAUGGUGGCUCACACCUGUGAUUCCAGCACUUUGGGAGACCAAGGUGGGCAGAUCACGAGGUCAAGAGAUCAAGACCAUCCUGGCCAACAUAGUGAAACCCCAUCUCUACUAAAAAACACAAAAAUUAGCUGGACAUGGUGGCAGGCGCCUGUAGUUCCAGCUACUCGGGAGGCUGAGGCAGGAGAAUUGCUUGAACCUGGGAGGUGGAGGCUGCAGUGAGCCGAGAUCGCGCCAUUGCACUCCAGCCUGGUGCCUGGUGACAGAGCAAGACUGUCUCAAAAAAAAAAAAAGAAAGAAAGAAAGUAAGAAAGCCAUGUUAUUAGACUUGGGGGCAUGAGUUACCAGUUCUUGAAUACUUUCUCGGUAGAUAAGAAGUUGUAGGCUUCUAUAGUUAGAGUCACAAUCUAAUGUUUUAGUUAAACUAUAGCUACAGGAUGUUAAUCCUGUGAUUGUUUGGGGGUUUAGAGUAAGGAGUAGGAUUGGUGCAAGAUGUAUAAAUACUAAAAUAUUUUCCCAUGUGAAGAAAGGUUUAAUACUGCUAAUAUUGUACUUUAAUGCUCUCUGAUGUGUUGAGGUAAAUAUGUAUAGUGAAUAAAGGGCUGUAAUUAGUAUGUUAAGUCCUAUAAGUAAAAUAGUGAAGUUUGAUCUGAAGAAGGAGGCUAUGACUGUAAAGAGUUCUCCAAUUAAAUAAUGGUUGGGGUAGGGCAAGAUUAGUAAGAUUUGCUAAGAGUCAUCAGAGGGCUAUUAAUGGAAAUAAUAUUUGGAGUCCUCGGGUGAAUAGUAUGGUUCGGCUAUGGAUUUGUUCAUUAUUUGAGUUUGCUAGGCAGAACAUUAAAGAUGAGGUGAGCCUGUGGGCGAUUAUGAGAGUAGUAGUGCCUGUAAAACUUCAAGGGUUUUGAAUGAGGAUUGCUAGAAUAACAAGUGCUAUAUGUCUUACAGAAGAAUAGGCAAUGAGUGAUUUUAGGUCAGUUUGUCAUAAACAGAUAGAGCUUGUUAUAAUUAUCCCUCAUAUGGAUAAAAUUAGGAAAGGAUAGCUUAUGGUUUCUGUUAGGGGGCUAAGGACAUGGGUAAUUCAUAUUAUGCCAUAGCCGCCUAAUUUUAGCAGUACUGCUGCAAGUACUAUUGAGCUGGCGAUAGGGGCUUCUACAUGGGCUUUAGGGAGUCAUAGGUGGAGUCCAUAUAGAGGCAUUUUGACUCUAAAGGCCGUUAUAUAUGCUAGUCAUGUAACAUUGUUGGUUCAGGAGAAUAAUAGUUCUUGAGCAAUAACUGUUGUUGUUACUCUAUUUAGUGACCCUAAGGUGUUUUGGGUGUAAAGAAGUAUGAUGAGUAGGUGAAGGGAUCCUACUAGUGUAUAAAAUAAUAAAUAUGAGCCUGCAUUGAGGCAUUCUGAUUGAUAUCCUCAGUGGGUAAUAAUAAUUAGAGUGGGAAUUAAUGUGACUUUGAAUAGGAUAUAAAAUAUGAUUCGCUCUGUGGUCGUGAAUGCUGUAAUUAAGGAAGUUUGUAGGAUAAUUAAUAUGGAAAUGUAAAGGUUUUUUGUGGGAGGGGAAUACUGAAUAGGUGGUGUUGAGUGGCUAAAAUUAUGGGAGGUAGAAGUCAGGCUGUUAAGAUUAGAAGCGGGGAUGUUAAUGGAUCUGAAAAGAAAGUGAGAAAGUACAUAGGUUGUUGUUGGGGUAGUGAAAGAAAAUAGGAUAAAGAGCCUGAUAAAUAAGCUAUGAGUGACUAUGUUAAUUCAUAUUAUAUAAUUUUUUCCAAGUCAUGUUGUUGGAAGCAGGUUACUUUUUGGGAAAAUAACUUUUAACAGUGGAGUAGAUUUAAGUUUUGUAAGUAAUCUAGGCCGUGUAUGUUAGAAGUUGAAAUUAGUAGGGCUAGGCCUACUGCAGCUUCACAGGCAGAGAAUACUAGAAAGACAAGAGGUAUUAUAGAUAUUAAGAUAAAAUAUAUAUUUAAGGUUAUGAUUAUGAUUAUAAUGAACAAUGAUAAUAUUUUACCUUCCAAACAUAGUAGAGAUUAUAUUAGGUGGGAUGGAUAAGUUAAUAUUCCUGGUAGAGAUAUAGAAUAUACUAGUAUAUUAUUAAUAUAAAUAAAAGGCAUUUGAUAGAUAUAAUUCAUCAUAAUCUAAUGAGUCAUCAUUUGUUUUGAUUUAAACUAUAUACCAAUUUGGCUCAGUCUAAUCCUUUUUGAGUUCAUUCAUAAACUAUGCCUAGAAUUAAACUAAUUACUAGCAUAAGAGUUGUGCUAAUUGUUAACAUUAGAUUACUUGUUUGUGUUGCUCAUGGUGGGGGUAGUAGUAGGGCAAUUUCUAGGUAGAAUAUAAGGAAUGUAAUAGAAAUUAAAAAGAAUUUUUUUUUUUUUUGAGACGGAGUUUUGCUGUUGUUACCCAGACUGAAGUGCAAUGGCACGAUGUCGGCUCACCGCAACCUCCGCCUUCUGGGUUCAAGCAAUUCUCCCGCCUCAGCCUCCCGAGUAGCUGGGACUACAGGCACAUACCACCAUGCCCAGCUAAUUUUUGUAUUUUUAGUAGAGACGGGGUUUCACCUCGUUGACCAGGAUGGUCUCGAUCUCUUGACCUCGUGAUCCACCCGCCUCGGCCUCCCAAAGUGCUGGGAUUAUAGGCAUGAGCCACAGCGCACCCGGCCUAAAAAGAAUUUUAUAGACCUCCGAGACCGCAUCCGCCCCGCGAGCACAGAGCCUCACCCUUGCUGUUCCAUCGCCCGUCCACACCCACUGCCAGCUCACCAUGGAUGAUGGUAUCACUGCACUUGUUGUCGACAACGGCUCCGGCAUGUGCAAGGCCGGCUUCACGGGCAACUGUGCUCCCCGGGCCAUCUUCCCCUCCAUCAUGGGGCGCCCCAGGCACCAGGGCGUGAUAUUGGGCAUGGGUCAGAAGGACUUCUACGUGGCUGACGAGGCCCAGAGCAAGAGAGGCAUCCUGACCCUGAAGUACCCCAUUGAGCACGGCAUUGUCACCAACUGGGAUGACAUGGAGAAGAUCUGGCACUACACUUUCUACAACGAGCUGCGUGUGGCUCCUGAAGAGCACCCUGUGCUGCUUACUGAGGCCCCCUGAACCCCAAGGCCAACUAUGAGAAGAUGACCCAGAUCAUGUUUGAGACCUUCAACACCCCAGCCAUGUAUGUGGCCAUCCAGGCCGUGCUUUCCUUAUAGGCCUCUGGCUGUACCACUGGCAUCAUGAUGGACUCUGGUGACGGGGUCACCCACACUGUGCCCAUCUAUGAGGGGCCCUCUCCCACGCCAUCCUUCGACUGGACCUGGCUGGCUGGUACCUGACUGACUACCUCAUGUAGAUCCUCACUGAGUGCGGCCACAGCUUCACGACCACAGCUGAGCGGGAAAUCGUGUGUGACAUCAAGGAGAAGCUGGGCUACAUCACCCUGGACUUCGAGCAGGAGAUGGCCACGGUGGCCUCUAGCUCCUCCCUGGAGAAGAGCUAUGAGCUGCCCGAUGGUCAGGUCAUCACCAUCGGCAACGAGCGGUUCCGCUGCCCUGAGGCGCUCUUCCUUCCAGCCUUCUUUCCUGGGCAUGGAAUCUUGUGGCGUCCACGAAACUACUUUUAACUCCAUCAUGAAAUGUGACAUGGACAUCCGCAAAGACCUGUAUGCCAACACAGCGCUGUCUGGCAGUACCACCAUGUGCCCUGGCAUCGCUGACAGGAUGCCGAGGGAGAUCACUGCCCUGGCACCCAGCACGAUGAAGAUCAAGAUCAUUGCUCCUCCUGAACGGAGGUACUCCAUGUGGAUCGGUGGCUCCAUCCUGGCCUCUCUGUCCACCUUCCAGCAGAUGUGGAUCAGCAAGCAGGAGUACGACGAAUCCCGCCCCUCCAUCAUCCACCGCAAAUGCUUCUGGGCAGACUGUGACUUAGUUGCAUUACACCCUUUCUUGAAAAAACCUAACUUGCGCAGAAAACAAGAUGAGAUUGGCAUGGCUUUAUUUGUUUUUUUUUUUUUGUAUUGUUUUGGGUUUUUUUUUUUUUUUUGGGCUUGACUCAGGAUUUAAAAACUGGAAAGGUGAAGGUGACAGCAGUCGGUUGGAGUGAACAUCCCCCAAAGUUCUACAAUGUGGCCGAUGACUUGAUUGUGUACAUUGUUUUCUUUAAGUCAUUCCAAAUAUUGUGAGAUGCAUUGUUAUAGGAAGGCCCUUGCCCUCCCAAAAGCCACUCCACUUCUCUUUAAGGAGAAUGGCCCAGUCCUUUCCCAAGUCCACACAGGGGAGGUAACAGCAUUGCUUUUGUUGUAAAUUAUGUAAUGAAAAAAUUUUUAAAUUUUGCCUUAAUACUUUUUAAAUUUUGUUUUAUUAUGAAAGAUUUUAGCCUCUGGCUACCCCUUUUUUUGUCCCUCAACUUGAGAUGUAUGAAGGCUUUUGGUCUCCCUGGGAGUGGGUGGAGGCAGCCAGGGCUUACCUGUACACUGACUUGAGACCAGUUGAAUAAAGUGCACACCUUAAAAAAAAAAAAAAAAAAGAAUUUUAUAGAGAAAGGUAGGUGAGCACAGGCUAUGGGAUCAAACCCACAUUCAUAGGAGUUAUAUUUUUCUCUAUAAAUUUUUAAUUGUGGGAGUCAGAAUGUGAUCAUAAUCAGUAAUAGGGCUAAGAGAGUGUCAGUUGCUAAAGUUAGUGUUAGGUUAAUUACUCUCGGGUUUGAAUCGAAGCUUAUUGAUUGGAAGUCAAUGGUACUUUUGUACUAAGAGAGUAGGAUCCUCAUCAGUAAAUGGAAAUAUACAGGAACAGUCACACUAUGUCUACGAAGUGUCAGUAUCAUGCAGCAGCUUCAAAGCCUAAGUGGUGAUUGGUUGUAAAGUGAAAUAUUAGUUCGUGAAAAAGACACGUAGUGAGAAAUGUAGAUCCAAUAAUAGCAUGGAGGCCGUGAAAUCCUGUAGUGACAAAGAAUGUGGAGCCAUAAAUUCCAUCAGAAAUAGUAAAGGAAGUUUCAAAAUAUUCUGAGAUUUGUAGGAGAAUGAAAUAAGCACCUAGAAUAAUGGUCAUAGUUAAUGCUUGGAUUAUUUCUUUUCAGUUAGCUUCCAUUAGGCUGUGAUGUGCUUAGGUAAUUGAGCUCAGGUAUUUUUUUCCUUUCAAAUUUAGAUCUACAAUCUACAUUGGAUUGUCCUUUGUGUAUGAUGUGAGUUAAAGGUUGUUUCUUUUUUUCUUGCCAAGAUUCCUUUUCAAAUGUCCUAGCAUCAUUUAUUGAAAAGACUGUUCUCUCUCCACUGCUCUGCAGUAUCACCUUUGUUAAGAAUCAAAUGUUAAGCAAUACAUGAGCAAUAUAAGCAAUACUCUCUAUUCCAUUCUAUUUGCCUAUCUUUGUACCAGCAUCACACUGUUUUAAUUGCUAUAGCUUUAUGCCAUGUCUUUAUAUCCAAGAGAACAAGUUCUCCAUUCCAGUUCUUCUUCAGUUGGGUCUUGGCUAUUUGUUACUUUCCAUUUCUGUAUACUUUUUAGAAUGAACAUGUCAAGUGGUAUUUUCAUUUUUCUCUCCUAGUGCUGACUUUCAACAGCUAAAUUUUUAUAAUUAUUUAGAACUUUAAUGGCAAUAGGACUUUGAAAGGACGUGAUAUAGUGGGGAAAAAAGUGGGCCAUGCUAUCAGACUUGAGUUUGAAUUUAUUCUUACCAUUCUCUAUUAGUGUAGGACAUGAGACUGGUACAGGCUUGUUUUAUCUAUUUUGAUCAACUAUUUAUACUUUUUAGGCCACAAUAACAGAAACACCUUUAUUGCUGAAAUUACUGAAGGAAAAUAACUUUAUUAUUGCAAAUAUGAGACUAUCUUCUUCCCAUUGAGACAGUCACUUUUAUAAGCACAAGUUAUUUCGCUUUCCUAAAUUCAGGCUUAUCAGUUGUAAAUGGGGAUAAAAAUAACUACUUUCUGAGGAAUGAACCUUUGUAAAUGUGCUUAGUACAAAAAAGGAACUUGAUAAUGGUGGUCCUUAUAUCUGUUCUUUCUUGGCUUGUCUAGCAUGUUUUCCUACACCCUUCUCAGUUGAUUAGGAGCAUGGCAGGUCUGAGAUGCUAGAAGUUUUUGCAUAAUAAAAGCCUAACUUUCAGAAAUUCAUUUCUUUAAAUUUCUUUUUUUUCUUUUUUUUGAGACGGAGUUUCAUCAUGUUGGUCAGACUGGUCUCGAACUCCUGACCUCAGGUAAUCCACCCGCCUCGGCUUCCCAAAGUGCUGGGAUUAUAGACGUGAGCCACCGUGCGCAGCCACUUUCAGAAAUUCAUAUUAUCUAAACUGGAAGAGAUUAGGGGUACAUGUAAAAAUUAUAUAUGUGAAUAUAUUCUUUAUAAAUGUUUUGUGAAUUAUGAUGCAUAUUUUAAAUUUCAACAUUAUUAUUCUCUUUCUCCUCUAAUAUUAGUUAUAAAUCAUACAGAGUAUAGGUUUUGUUUCUGUAAUGCUCAAUGCAAUAAAAAGGCUUGUGACUGGAUUGUUAAAAUUCAGCACUGCACGGGUUUGUUGGCAUCACAAUAAAUAUUUCUUAGCCCAGUUCAGAAAUGUGUCAAAGCUAUCAGCAGAUAAUGCAGCAGACAAUGUAUCAUUACCCACUUAUCAUAACUGUAACUUGUGCCUCAUCUUUUUUAUUUUUAUUUUUUACAAGGCAUUCAUCCAUUGGUACACAUUUUUCUUUUUUUUUUUUUAAAGGCAUUCAUCUUUUUAACUUUAAACAUUUGUACUCACCUAGAAACCAAUUUGAAAUGUUUUUCUUAUUAUCUUCUUACCAUCCCCCAGAAUAUAUAUUUUUUAACUCAUAAAAUGCAUGUUAUUUAAGGUAAAUCAUAAAGUUAUAAUGAAUACCCAUGAAUCUAACAUCUGCCAUCCAAACCAUGUGCUCAUUCUAUUCAUGUUAACUGGCUUCUUAUUUAAACCUCUUUGAGAACUUGGCCUCUUUAAUUUAUAUUAUUGGCUUAAUAUUCACUUAAAAUAUCCUCAAACAGUACAGACAGCUGCAUGCAGCUUCAAUAUGUAGUUAUUUUGCAGCUCAUUAAUGCUAUGAAAUCUGUGAAUAUGUUUAUUUAGUAAAAUUGGCAAGCAAGGAGUUUUGUCUCCAAUUCUAUCUAUACCUCUAAGUGUCUGUGUGUAACUGUGACUGCAUAUGGCCUCUUACAUUCAGAAAUGAAUUAUUCUCUAUCUCUAUAUUUCUUUCCCAUUCUGUCUCUCACAUACACAUACAUAUUCAAAUACACACAAAGAAAAGGAUAUAGAAAAAGAAAAUAUGAAAACAGCUCCCAAUAUGAUCCAUCUACCAUCUGUACUUUCCUAUCCAUCACUGCAAAUUUGGGCAAAAUGCUCUCUCUUGUAUUCAUUUUGCUCCCUAUUCCCUUAUUCAUGCUGGUUUGGAGACAAAGUGGGGGUACAAAAAGGCAGUCCGCUAUUUUCUGCACCACAAUUUCCCUUUUCAGUGACUCCAUAGCUGCCAUCAGCUCACAGAUGAUGCUCUUUUGUGGAUAUGGGGGGAACUCUGAUAGAACACUUGUGGAAGGUGCCCCACAGGGGAAGAGUGAAUAGCCUGUUCCUUCAAUCCUGUCACCAGGUGGCAAAGGCAAAAUGCUGUCAAAUGGCCCAAAAGCUUAUCAGGGAGGAAAAGACUCAAGGGUUUAUAGCAUCUGAGCUUAUAGAACAUGCUCAUUUAAUUCAUGAGAUGUUUCAUUUUUGUAUUUUAGUAACAAUUUUAGUAACAGGUAUGUCUUUAUGAUUGUAAUCUUUUGCUUCCUCCAUUCUUUCUAUAGAUGCAUAUGUAUGUAUAUGUGUGUGAAUAUGUAUAUGUAUAUAAUAUACAUCUACAUAGCAUAGUUCAGUUUAAUAGGCAUUUAUUAAGUUAUUAUUUGCCAUGCAUCAAGGACACAGAGAUGAAUAAGAUAUGGAUUCUGCUGGGCACAGUGGCUCCCGCCGAUAAUCCCAGCUACUCGGGAGACUGAGGUGGGAGAAUCACUUGAGGCCAGGAGUUCAAGAUCAGCCUGAGCAACAGAGCUUGAUCCCAUAUCUAUUUUUUAAAAUGUGAAUUCUGCUCUCGAGGAGCUUGUAGUCUACUGGUAUUUAUUUUUCCACAGAUGAUUUUAGACAUAGGGACUAUAUUUCAGUUUUACUACCAGUAUUAAAAAGUAUUAAAACCUAAUAGGACUUUCCAGAAGGCACAGGCCAGCCAUAGGAAGCACAGGAGUGCAGUGGUGCGAUCUUGGCUCACUGCAAUCUCUGCCUCCCAAGUUCAAGCAAUUUACCUGCCUCAGCCUCCCGAGUAGCUGGGACUACAGGCAUGCGCCACCAUGCCCAGCUAAUUUUUGUAUUUUUAGUAGAGACAGGGUUUCCACCAUGUUGGCCAGGAUGGUCUCGAUCUUUUGACCUUGUGAUCCAUCCACCUCAGCAUUUGAAAGUGCUGGGAUUACAGGUGUGCAACCUCUGUGCCCAGCCCCCCAACUUUUUUUUUUUUUUGAGACGGGGUUUUGCUCUUGUUGCUCUGACUGGAGUGCAAUCGUGCGAUAAUGGUGCGGUCCCAGCUCACUGCACCCUCUGCCUCCCAGGAUUGCUUGAUCCUAAGUUUGCAAUUUAGGGAGCAAUUCUCCUAAUUUAUGUAUCAUUUACAUACAAUUUAAAUUUGUUCUAAUUUUUUUUUUUGACAGAGUCUUGCUUUGUCGCCCAGGAUGGAGUGCAAUGGGGCAAUCUUGGCACACUGCAACCUCUGCCUCUCGGGUUCAAGCAAUUCUCCUGCUUCAGCCUCCAAGUGGUUGGGAUUACAGGCGCCCACCACCACACCCAACUAAUGUUUUGUAUUUUUAGUAGAGAAGGGGUUUCAUCAUGUUGGCCAAGUGAUUCACCCGCCUCAGCCUCCCAAAGUGCUGGGAUUAUAGGUGUAAGCCACUGCUCCUGGCCUAGUUUUUUUUUUUUUUUUUUUUGAGGCGCGAUCUCGGCUCACUGCAACCUCCGCCUCCUGGGUUCAGGCAAUUCUCCUGCCUCAGCCUCCCGAAUAGCUGGGAUUACAGGCACACGCCACCAUGCCCAGCUAAUUUUUUGUAUUUUUAGUAGAGACGGGGUUUCACCAUGUUGACCAGGAUGGUCUUGAUCUCUUAACCUCGUGAUCCACCCGCCUCGGCCUCCCAAAGUGCUGGGAUUACAGGCUUGAGCCACUGCGCCUGGCCCAGUUUUUUAUUUUUUAAAUGGACUUUUCUCUUAGAGACAGGGUCUUGCUAUGCUACCCAAUCUAGUCUUGAACUCCUGGGCUCAAGUGAUCCUCCUGCCUCCAUCUCCCACAGUGCUUGCAUUACAGGUAUGAGCCACCAUGCCCACCCUAAUUAAACUUUCUGUUUUAGAAUAGUUUUAGAUUUAUAGAAAAGCUGGCAUGGCCUAAA